RNAcentral lists this unclassified non-coding RNA (340 nucleotides) under Hevea brasiliensis (rubber tree). Lineage: Eukaryota; Viridiplantae; Streptophyta; Magnoliopsida; Malpighiales; Euphorbiaceae. The record is from RNAcentral.
GUGAAUUUCACCAAUUGAGGUAUGUCAUGAAUUUUUAAAGAUUACCAACUUAAUUUUUUUAACUAGCAAACUAUUAGUAUUUCUUUCAAAACCAUCCUCCCUCCAUUGUUAUCUUUUAUCUGUGAACCAAACUCUGUUACUAUUAAUUUUUUUUUCCCUAACAAUCAAAUGAUUUUUAGACAAUUGAAUCUUAAAGGAGGCUAGUAACUAAAUACCAAAUGAUGAAUCAAUUUCCACCGCAAUGAAUCAAAUGCAAUUAAGAAAUGGAAUUAGAUAUCUCUACCACUCCUUGUCUGGCUCUAGCACACCAGCCACAGGGAAUAUGGCCCAAAGAACGAAA